This 253-nucleotide ribosomal RNA is filed under the name uncultured bacterium. RNAcentral describes it as "partial 16S ribosomal RNA". It matches the Rfam family "Bacterial small subunit ribosomal RNA", at positions 524 to 776 of the family's 1533-position model. The record is from RNAcentral.
UACGUAGGGUGCGAGCGUUGUCCGGAUUUAUUGGGCGUAAAGAGCGUGUAGGCGGCCAAGCAGGUCAGCUGUGAAAACUCGAGGCUCAACCUCGAGACGUCGGUUGAAACCGCUUGGCUAGAGUCCGGAAGAGGAGAGUGGAAUUCCCGGUGUAGCGGUGAAAUGCGCAGAUAUCGGGAAGAACACCUAUGGCGAAGGCAGCUCUCUGGGACGGUACUGACGCUGAGACGCGAAAGCGUGGGGAGCGAACAGG